This 530-nucleotide ribosomal RNA is filed under the name uncultured bacterium. RNAcentral describes it as "bacterial SSU rRNA". It matches the Rfam family "Bacterial small subunit ribosomal RNA", at positions 355 to 896 of the family's 1533-position model. The record is from RNAcentral.
UGGGGAAUAUUGCACAAUGGGCGGAAGCCUGAUGCAGCGACGCCGCGUGGGGGAUGAAGGCCUUCGGGUUGUAAACUCCUUUCGACAGGGACGAAGCGUAAGUGACGGUACCUGUAUAAGAAGCACCGGCUAACUACGUGCCAGCAGCCGCGGUAAUACGUAGGGUGCGAGCGUUGUCCGGAAUUACUGGGCGUAAAGAGCUCGUAGGUGGUUUGUCGCGUCGUCUGUGAAAUUCCGGGGCUUAACUCCGGGCGUGCAGGCGAUACGGGCUGACUUGAGUGCUGUAGGGGAGACUGGAAUUCCUGGUGUAGCGGUGAAAUGCGCAGAUAUCAGGAGGAAUACCGAUGGCGAAGGCAGGUCUCUGGGCAGUAACUGACGCUGAGGAGCGAAAGCAUGGGUAGCGAACAGGAUUAGAUACCCUGGUAGUCUAUGCCGUAAACGGUGGGCGCUAGGUGUAGGGGGCUUCCACGUCUCCUGUGCCGUAGCUAACGCAUUAAGCGCCCCGCCUGGGGAGUACGGCCGCAAGGCUA